CUACUACUACUAUUACAUUACUAUAACUACUACUACUACUAUUACAUUACUAUUACUACUAUUAUUACAUUACUACUACUACUACAUUUACAUUACUAUUACUACUACUACUACUACUACAUUUACAUUACUAUUACUACUAUUAUUACAUUACUACUACUACUACAUUUACAUUACUAUUACUACUACUACUACUACUACUACUAUUAUUACAUUACUACUACUACUACUACUACUGCUAUUAUUACAUUACUACUACUACUACUACAUUUACAUUACUAUUACUACUACUACUACUAUUACAUUACUACUACUACUACUACUACUACUACUAUUACAUUACUACUACUACUACUACUGCUAUUAUUACAUUACUACUACUACUACUAUUAUUACAUUAAUACUACUACUGCUAUUAUUAGAUUACUACUACUACUAUUACAUUACUACUACUACUAUUAUUACAUUACUACUACUACUACUACUGCUAUUAUUACAUUACUACUACUACUGCUACUGCUAUUAUUACAUUACUACUACUACUACUGCUAUUACUACAUUACUACUACUACUACUAUUACAUUACUACUACUACUACUAUUAUUACAUUACUACUACUACUACUAUUACAUUACUACUACUACUACUACUAUUACAUUACUACUACUACUACUAUUAUUACAUUACUUCUACUACUACUACUAUUACAUUACUACUACUACUACUACUACUAUUAUUACAUUAAUACUACUACUGCUAUUAUUAGAUUACUACUACUAUUACAUUACUACUACUACUAUUAUUACAUUACUACUACUAUUACAUUACUACUACUACUACUACUGCUAUUAUUACAUUACUACUACUACUACUAUUACAUUACUACUACUAUUAUUACAUUACUACUACUACUACUAUUACAUUACUACUACUACUACUAUUACAUUACUACUACUACUACUACUGCUAUUAUUAGAUUACUACUACUACUACUAUUACAUUACUACUACUACUACUACUGCUAUUAUUACAUUACUACUACUACUACUAUUACAUUACUACUACUAUUAUUACAUUACUACUACUACUAUUAUUACAUUACUACUACUACUACUAUUACAUUACUACUACUACUACUAUUAUUACAUUACUACUACUACUACUAUUA
RNAcentral lists this long non-coding RNA (1168 nucleotides) under Gouania willdenowi (blunt-snouted clingfish). RNAcentral describes it as "lncRNA (ENSGWIG00000001411.1)". Lineage: Eukaryota; Metazoa; Chordata; Actinopteri; Blenniiformes; Gobiesocidae. The record is from RNAcentral.